RNAcentral lists this ribosomal RNA (486 nucleotides) under uncultured bacterium. Its description in RNAcentral is "bacterial SSU rRNA". It matches the Rfam family "Bacterial small subunit ribosomal RNA", at positions 28 to 509 of the family's 1533-position model. The record is from RNAcentral.
GAUGAACGCUGGCGGCGUGCUUAACACAUGCAAGUCGAACGAAGCACUUUAUUAUGAUUUCUUCGGAAUGACGAUUUAGUGACUGAGUGGCGGACGGGUGAGUAAUGCAUGAGCAACCUGCCCUGCAGUGGGGGACAACAGUUGGAAACGACUGCUAAUACCGCAUGAUGUAUCUGGAAGGCAUCUUCCGGAUACCAAAGAUUUAUCGCUGUGGGAUGGGCUCAUGUCUGAUUAGUUAGUUGGUGGGGUAACGGCCUACCAAGACUGCGAUCAAUAGCCGACCUGAGAGGGUGACCGGCCACAUUGGGACUGAGACACGGCCCAGACUCCUACGGGAGGCAGCAGUGGGGGAAUAUUGGGGCAAUGGGCGCAAGCCUGACCCAGCAACGCCGCGUGAAGGAAGAAGGCUUUCGGGUUGUAAACUUCUUUUGUCAGGGACGAGGAGAAGACGGUACCUGACGAAUAAGCCACGGCUAACUACGUGCC